Molecule: ribosomal RNA, 738 nt
Filed under: uncultured bacterium
Lineage: Bacteria
Description: bacterial SSU rRNA
Rfam family: Bacterial small subunit ribosomal RNA
Source: RNAcentral
ACGGGUGAGUAACGCGUGGAUAACCUGCCGUAUACAGGGGGAUAACACUUAGAAAUAGGUGCUAAUACCGCAUAAGCGCACGGUUCCGCAUGGAACAGUGUGAAAAACUCCGGUGGUAUACGAUGGAUCCGCGUCUGAUUAGCCAGUUGGCGGGGUAACGGCCCACCAAAGCGACGAUCAGUAGCCGGCCUGAGAGGGUGAACGGCCACAUUGGGACUGAGACACGGCCCAAACUCCUACGGGAGGCAGCAGUGGGGAAUAUUGCACAAUGGGGGAAACCCUGAUGCAGCGACGCCGCGUGAGUGAAGAAGUAUCUCGGUACGUAAAGCUCUAUCAGCAGGGAAGAAAAUGACGGUACCUGAUUAAGAAGCCCCGGCUAACUACGUGCCAGCAGCCGCGGUAAUACGUAGGGGGCAAGCGUUAUCCGGAUUUACUGGGUGUAAAGGGAGCGUAGACGGCAGCGCAAGUCUGGAGUGAAAUGCCGGGGCCCAACCCCGGAACUGCUUUGGAAACUGUGCAGCUCGAGUGCAGGAGAGGUAAGCGGAAUUCCUAGUGUAGCGGUGAAAUGCGUAGAUAUUAGGAGGAACACCAGUGGCGAAGGCGGCUUACUGGACUGUAACUGACGUUGAGGCUCGAAAGCGUGGGGAGCAAACAGGAUUAGAUACCCUGGUAGUCCACGCCGUAAACGAUGAUUACUAGGUGUCGGGGGGCCAAGGCCCUCCGGUGCCGGCGCAAACG